RNAcentral lists this non-coding RNA (24 nucleotides) under Arabidopsis thaliana (thale cress). The record is from RNAcentral. Lineage: Eukaryota; Viridiplantae; Streptophyta; Magnoliopsida; Brassicales; Brassicaceae.
CUAAUCCAGGUACAAUAACUCACC